RNAcentral lists this small nuclear RNA (107 nucleotides) under Chinchilla lanigera (long-tailed chinchilla). Lineage: Eukaryota; Metazoa; Chordata; Mammalia; Rodentia; Chinchillidae. The record is from RNAcentral.
UUGCUCGCUUUGGCGGCACAUAUAGUAAAGUUGGAACAAUACAGAGAAGAUUAGCAUGGCCCCUGAGCAAGGAUGACACACAAAUUCAUGAACUGUUCCAUAGUAAA